AUUGAACGCUGGCGGUAUGCCUAACACAUGCAAGUCGAACGGUAACAGAGGAAAGCUUGCUUUCUUGCUGACGAGUGGCGGACGGGUGAGUAACGCGUGGGAAUCUACCCAGUAGUUGGGGAUAGCCCGGAGAAAUCCGGAUUAAUACCGAAUAAUGUCUACGGACGAAAAGAUGCCUCUACUUGUAAGCAUUUGCUAUUGGAUGAGCCCGCGUUAGAUUAGUUUGUUGGUGGGGUAACGGCCUACCAAGACUGCGAUCUAUAGCUGGUUUGAGAGGAUGAUCAGCCACAUUGGGACUGAGACACGGCCCAG
RNAcentral lists this ribosomal RNA (312 nucleotides) under uncultured bacterium. Its description in RNAcentral is "bacterial SSU rRNA". It matches the Rfam family "Bacterial small subunit ribosomal RNA", at positions 30 to 334 of the family's 1533-position model. The record is from RNAcentral.